Molecule: long non-coding RNA, 3500 nt
Organism: Prunus persica (peach)
Lineage: Eukaryota; Viridiplantae; Streptophyta; Magnoliopsida; Rosales; Rosaceae
Exons: 6
Source: RefSeq, a predicted model, not a curated record
CAAUCAUAAUGUUAUUUUCAUGAAUUGAAAUGUGGUCCAAACUAACACAAGUCGGGUUCAUCAACUUGGCCAAUAGGCAGCUCAGCUCUCACAUGGUUGCAAGGAUUCUGGAUUUCCUCAUAAUUUCAUCUACACAAGUAGAAUAUAAUAAUAAUAUGCUGAACAAACACAGUGAAAUUCCUCACAAGAAACUGUAAGAACAAACAGCAUAAAAAACAGAAGAAAAAAAAGUGAUGACCAAGCCUUGAGCAGCAGGCGCCACUGAUUCUUUCCUUGAUAUGUAGAGUAGGAAAGUAGGAAAAGUUUCUAACCAAGAAGCAUAUCCCUGAUGGAAUGUAAUUCACAUGCAACAUCACUGAUAUCCUUUCGGUUCGCGGGGGAUUCAGCAGAACAUGCAAUUCCAAGUUUAAAUAUCAAACUCAAGCACUCCUCCACUCUUUGAGCCUUAAUGAUGUAUUGUUCGGGAGAUUCGAUGCUGCCUUCUUGAAGAAGUAAGUCUGCAAUCUCUGUGAUACUCGGUUUUAUUCAUGUUUCUGACAAUAGUAUAGCCGCGUGGCUAUACUCUUUUGGCAGGUACAACUGAAAUAGUAUCGCCGCACGGCUAUACUACAUUUUAAAAAGUUUUUUGGAGGAUAUAGUAUAGCUGUGCGGCCGUACUAUUGUUUUUUGUUUAAUUUUUUUUUUUAAAAUACUGUAGCCGGACGGCUGCACUUGUUUUGACACGUAGGCGGCUAAUCGCUAGGGAGCCCUCCCUUUUUAAAACAAAAUGGUAUAGCCGGUCGGCGAUACUCGGUUUUUAAAUUUUUUUAAAAAAUAGUAUAGCCGGGCUAUACCUAUUUUGACAUGUGGGCGCCUAAGCGCAAUACGGGUCCUUUCAACAAAAAAAAAAAAAAAAAAAAAAAAAGCUGCGCGGCAAAUCGGUUUUUUAACACGUUUCACACAAUAGUAUAGCCGCGCGGCUAUACCCAGACAUGGUCAAAGAUACUAUGGGUGCAACUAACCAUAAUCAGCUCAAUGAUAUUCCUCCUAAUGUAUGUGUGGAUCUAUUUGGCAGUUGAUAAUCAUUUUCCCCCCUCCUUGUUUCCUAAUCUAGAAGAUGAAAUUGCAGGACGUAUCUACACCGUCUUCUAGAAAACCAAAAGCCAAGAAAAAAGAUAGUGAUGUCGUUAUGUCAUCAGUCGGACCAGAUCAGAGUGCAAUUCAAGUUAGACGCCAGAGUCGGUGGAGGAUUUCUGCGGUAGAGUAGAGCUGAAAUUUUCAGUGAUGAUCGGGAAGAAGCUGAGUGGUUAUCUAUGCCUCUUUCUGAUCUUAGAGUGCUUGCAAAUGAAAUAAUGUCUCUUCGAGCAAAGGGGCUUCUACAUUUGGUCCCUGUAGAUUCUUUUGUUAGAUUGUGAAGGAUUUUAGAUCAUCAGAUACAUCGAGCUGAAGGCUUGUCUAUAAGUGAAUGUGAGCAGGUGAGCUUGUUUUAUGUCCUGCAUUCUUUCUUUCAUAUAGCAUAGCUGUUGUGGUCGUUUGCUUCGUAAACUACAUUUCUUCAGGCUUUUGUGCUGUUCUUCUUGUUUAUAUUUUCAUUGAAAUUUUGUGCUAUUUUUAGUUUUGCUUCUCCAUGAUUUUUUUUUGGGGGGUCUGAUUUUAGAAUCUCCAUGCUAGUAAUGAUGUUACUGAGGUGCCUUGCAAUAUAUUGAUUGUUUUAAAUUUCAUCUUAUAAUGGUCAUGUUAUCUGAAUCAUUGUUUGUCUGACCCUAUGUUUUCCUAUUUAUCACCAUAUUGGGGCAGAAAUAUUAGGGAGAUAAAAAUAAUUACGGAGAAAAAAAAUGUUUUUCAGUAUAGAGAAUGUAUUAAGCAUCUGAGCAUUUGGAGGAGACUACUUAUUAUGUAUAAAUUUCAUUUGGUAGUAAUGGAGACUGGAGAGAGCAAUGGGAACAGUUUUGGGGAGUGAUAAAUGGUCAGAGUAAUAAUGGGAAUAAUCAGGAAAGAGGGGGAGGAAGAAAUUUAGAGAAAUAAUUUCACUCAUUUGGCAGUGGUUAUAACACUAGUUUAAUUUAUAAACUUGUUAUUCAGUAUUUUCGUUGUGGUUAAAAUUUAUGCGCUCAAUUCUAUAUACAUAUAUAUUUGGAGUUUUUAUUUUAAUAGGUAUUCAUGAUCACUUUCAUUUAUUACUUUUCUCUUCAAUAUGUGAGUCAAAUUGAGAUGUGGUUUCAUCAAUAAAUUGUGCACUAGAGUCCAUUCAUGCAGCUUUAGCAGUAAUGGCUCAUAACCAGAUGCCAAAACAACUAUAUAAAGAAGAGAUCAUUGAAAGAAUUCUGGAGUUUUCCAGGCAUCAGAUAAUGGAUGUUAUGUGUGCUUAUGAUCCAUCAUAUCAUGCUUUGCAUAGGCCAAGUCAUAUGUUCCUGAGUUUUUCAUACGUAUUUUAACAUAUUAUUCUGUAUACACAACUCUGUCCAUUCUGUGUAUUGUCUUGCUCAAUCAUUCUGCAUUUUCAGGAGUAGUUGUUUUCAACUUAUGUGAUUUGAGUGACAAUAUUUUUCAAUAUAUUAACAGUUGAGGAAGAUGAAGACCCUGAUGCUGAAAUUGGUUCAGCAAGUAAGAAACGACACAGUAUCAAGACCGUUAAAGUGCAUAAAUCGUCAUUUAACAGGGUCGCCGCUGCUGUGAAUAAUAUUCUUCAGAAAAUGUGCACCAUUCUUGGUUUACUCAAGGAUUUGUUUUUAAUAGAAAGGUUGUCAGAUGGUUGCAUCUUACAACUAGUGAAAACAAGCUUUACAACAUUCAUGUUAUUUACUCAGUGGGAUAUUCUAUUCAUACACUCAGCAUCGGACUUAUGUUAGAUGAAUUAAUUCAGCUGCUUUGGAAGUUACUGUUCUCAAAGCGAGCUUUGAGAGCCUAUCACCUACCUGAUGAAGAGCAAAGGCAGAUUCAAAUGAUCACUGCUUAGUUCAUUCAGUUGGUUCACUAUACUGCUAACCUUCCUGAACCAUGAAGGCAGGAAUCAAGUGGUAAUUUCAUCUUAGAAUUUUCUCUCGAUGCCGAUUAUCCAACUAAAGGCCAUGAGGCAGCAACAGAGGCGUGUUGCCACUUUUGGACUCGUGUACUUCAACGUUUUGCUAGUGUGAAGACUCAGGAAGCUUCGGAGUUGAAAGUAAUGAUGGAGAAUCUUGUUACUGUUCUGCUGACAACGUUGAAUUUACCUGAAUAUCCCGCUUCAGCUCCUAUUCUGCAGGUUCUUUGUGUCUUGUUACUCCAGAAUGCCGGGCUGAAAUCUAAAGACAUAGGUGCUCGUACCAGGGCGAUUGACCUUCUUGGCACAAUUGCUGCGAGGUUGAAGCGUGAUUCUGCCCUUUGCAGUAAGGACAAAUUUUGGAUACUACAGGAGUUGGUUAGUGUGGAUGGGGAUGAUCAGACUGAUCCAAAAAAUGCAUGCUCAGUUUGUUUAGAAGAUAGGGUUGAAAAAAAUUUCUUUGUAUGCCAAGGUUGUUUUGACACGCGGCACCUAAUUGCUA